CAAUAGCGUAUAUUAAAGUUGUUGCAGUUAAAAAGCUCGUAGUUGGAUUUGUGGCGUACGGUGUGUUCCGGGCACUUGUUGUCUGAGUAACCUGCUGUUGCCAUCCUUGGGUGGAACCUGUGUGGCAUUAGGUUGGCGUGCAGGGGAUGCCCAUCAUUUACUGUGAAAAAAUUAGAGUGUUCAAAGCAGGCUUAUGCCGUUGAAUAUAUUAGCAUGGAAUAAUGAGAUAGGACUUUUUUGCUAUUUUGUUGGUUUGCGCAAAGAGGUAAUGAUUAAUAGGGACAGUUGGGGGUAUUCGUAUUCCAUAGUCAGAGGUGAAAUUCUUGGAUUUUUGGAAGACGAACUACUGCGAAAGCAUUUACCAAGGAUGUUUUCAUUAA
RNAcentral lists this ribosomal RNA (380 nucleotides) under uncultured eukaryote. RNAcentral describes it as "partial 18S ribosomal RNA". It matches the Rfam family "Eukaryotic small subunit ribosomal RNA", at positions 592 to 976 of the family's 1831-position model. The record is from RNAcentral.